CCCAUAUCAGACCAAUGAUCCAUCUGUUCCAUGAUCUCCAACAGUGGCCAGCCCUAGAUAUUUCAAAUGAAGGAGAAGACCGUAAGGUAUAUAUGAACAGAAACACCUGACUAUGCUAGAAUUGGAAAAAGCUUAACUGGAUCUACCUCUGUGAGAAUUAAGAAGAUCAUAUUGAGAAAGGCAUUAACCAAACCUUGGCUCCCUUGACAUAAGACAAC
Molecule: long non-coding RNA, 218 nt
Organism: Alligator sinensis (Chinese alligator)
Lineage: Eukaryota; Metazoa; Chordata; Crocodylia; Alligatoridae
Exons: 3
Source: RefSeq, a predicted model, not a curated record